AACGCGAAGAACCUUACCAGGUCUUGACAUCCCAUUGACCAGCAGAGUAACGUCUGCCUUCCUUCGGGACAAUGGAGACAGGUGGUGCAUGGUUGUCGUCAGCCCGUGUCGUGAGAUGUUGGGUUAAGUCCCGCAACGAGCGCAACCCUUAUCCUUAGUAGCCAGCGGUCCGGCCGGGCACUCUAGGGAGACUGCCGGGGAUAACCCGGAGGAAGGCGGGGAUGACGUCAAAUCAUCAUGCCCCUUAUGAUCUGGGCUACACACGUGCUACAAUGGCGGCCACAAAGAGAAGCGAACCCGCGAGGGGGAGCAAAUCCCAAAAAAGCCGUCCCAGUUCGGAUUGCAGUCUGCAACUCGACUGCAUGAAGCUGGAAUCGCUAGUAAUCGCGAAUCAGAAUGUCGCGGUGAAUACGUUCCCGGGUCUUGUACACACCG
RNAcentral lists this ribosomal RNA (435 nucleotides) under uncultured bacterium. RNAcentral's name for it is "bacterial SSU rRNA". It matches the Rfam family "Bacterial small subunit ribosomal RNA", at positions 958 to 1392 of the family's 1533-position model. The record is from RNAcentral.